Molecule: ribosomal RNA, 471 nt
Filed under: uncultured organism
Description: partial 16S ribosomal RNA
Rfam family: Bacterial small subunit ribosomal RNA
Source: RNAcentral
ACUCCUGCGGGAGGCAGCAGUGGGGAAUUUUGGACAAUGGGCGCAAGCCUGAUCCAGCCAUGCCGCGUGCGGGAAGAAGGCCUUCGGGUUGUAAACCGCUUUUGUCAGGGAAGAAAAGGUUCUGGCUAAUACCUGGGACUCAUGACGGUACCUGAAGAAUAAGCACCGGCUAACUACGUGCCAGCAGCCGCGGUAAUACGUAGGGUGCAAGCGUUAAUCGGAAUUACUGGGCGUAAAGCGUGCGCAGGCGGUUUUGCAAGACAGAGGUGAAAUCCCCGGGCUCAACCUGGGAACUGCCUUUGUGACUGCAUGGCUAGAGUACGGUAGAGGGGGAUGGAAUUCCGCGUGUAGCAGUGAAAUGCGUAGAUAUGCGGAGGAACACCGAUGGCGAAGGCAAUCCCCUGGACCUGUACUGACGCUCAUGCACGAAAGCGUGGGGAGCAAACAGGAUUAGAUACCCGUGUAGUCCCA